Molecule: ribosomal RNA, 399 nt
Filed under: uncultured bacterium
Lineage: Bacteria
Description: bacterial SSU rRNA
Rfam family: Bacterial small subunit ribosomal RNA
Source: RNAcentral
CGGGAAUUUUGCGCAAUGGACGAAAGUCUGACGCAGCAACGCCGCGUGAGGGAUGACGGCCUUCGGGUUGUAAACCUCUUUUCUCAGGGAAGAUGAUGACGGUACCUGAGGAAUAAGCCACGGCUAACGACGUGCCAGCAGCCGCGGUAAUACGUAGGUGGCGAGCGUUGUCCGGAUUUACUGGGCGUAAAGAGCGCGCAGGCGGUCGUUCAAGUCGCGUGUGAAAACUCCCGGCUCAACUGGGGAGGGUCACGCGAUACUGAUCGACUCGAAGGCAGGAGAGGGUAGUGGAAUUCCCGGUGUAGUGGUGAAAUGCGUAGAUAUUGGGAGGAACACCAGUGGCGAAGGCGGCUCACUGGACCGGAACUGACGCUGAGGCGCGAAAGCGUGGGGAGCAAA